Molecule: ribosomal RNA, 1110 nt
Filed under: bacterium
Lineage: Bacteria
Description: bacterial SSU rRNA
Rfam family: Bacterial small subunit ribosomal RNA
Source: RNAcentral
UGCAGUCGAACGGCAGCAUGAUCUAGCUUGCUAGAUUGAUGGCGAGUGGCGAACGGGUGAGUAAUACAUCGGAACGUGCCCUGUAGUGGGGGAUAACUAGUCGAAAGAUUAGCUAAUACCGCAUACGACCUGAGGGUGAAAGUGGGGGACCGCAAGGCCUCAUGCUAUAGGAGCGGCCGAUGUCUGAUUAGCUAGUUGGUGAGGUAAAGGCUCACCAAGGCGACGAUCAGUAGCUGGUCUGAGAGGACGAUCAGCCACACUGGGACUGAGACACGGCCCAGACUCCUACGGGAGGCAGCAGUGGGGAAUUUUGGACAAUGGGGGCAACCCUGAUCCAGCAAUGCCGCGUGUGUGAAGAAGGCCUUCGGGUUGUAAAGCACUUUUGUCCGGAAAGAAAUCGCACUUACUAAUAUUAGGUGUGGAUGACGGUACCGGAAGAAUAAGGACCGGCUAACUACGUGCCAGCAGCCGCGGUAAUACGUAGGGUCCAAGCGUUAAUCGGAAUUACUGGGCGUAAAGCGUGCGCAGGCGGUUGUGCAAGACCGAUGUGAAAUCCCCGGGCUUAACCUGGGAAUUGCAUUGGUGACUGCACGGCUAGAGUGUGUCAGAGGGGGGUAGAAUUCCACGUGUAGCAGUGAAAUGCGUAGAGAUGUGGAGGAAUACCGAUGGCGAAGGCAGCCCCCUGGGAUAACACUGACGCUCAUGCACGAAAGCGUGGGGAGCAAACAGGAUUAGAUACCCUGGUAGUCCACGCCCUAAACGAUGUCAACUAGUUGUUGGGGAUUCAUUUCCUUAGUAACGUAGCUAACGCGUGAAGUUGACCGCCUGGGGAGUACGGUCGCAAGAUUAAAACUCAAAGGAAUUGACGGGGACCCGCACAAGCGGUGGAUGAAGGUGGGAUUAAUUUCGAUGCAACGCGAAAAACCCUUACCUACCCUUUGACAUGCCACUAACGAAGCAGAGAUGCAUUAGGUGCUCGAAAGAGAAAGUGGACACAGGUGCUGCAUGGCUGUCGUCAGCUCGUGUCGUGAGAUGGUUGGGGUUAAGUCCCGCAACGAGCGCAACCCUUGUCUCUAGUUGCUACGAAAGGGCACUCUAGAAAGACUGCCG